Molecule: long non-coding RNA, 245 nt
Filed under: Lathyrus oleraceus (garden pea)
Lineage: Eukaryota; Viridiplantae; Streptophyta; Magnoliopsida; Fabales; Fabaceae
Description: Pisum sativum (pea) long non-coding RNA (PSAT_LNC034072)
Source: RNAcentral
CAUAUCAUAGGACAAGGGGGACAGCUAGCAAGGGACGGAUGCAUAUUUUUUGCUGUGACAGCUCAUGAGGCACUAAGAAAAGAUGCUCUUUUCUCAUUGGUUGCGAAAACGAAAAAAGAAAAAGUUACUACCUCUCAAGGUCUUUCUGGGAAAAAGAAAAACAGAAAGAAAAAAAAAGAGAACCUUCUUCUUCCAAACUGUUUAGCCGGCGACUUCCACCACCACACAACAUCCUACACCACGAC